CAGACGUGUUACACCAGCGCUUAAUUUGUAGUGAAAGAGAUGCUGGGGUUCAAGCAAUUUUUUACUUUCAUAACUGAUGCGGCAAACCCAGGGGUGCUGGGGCUAUGAACUGCCAAGC
Molecule: long non-coding RNA, 118 nt
Organism: Dermochelys coriacea (leatherback sea turtle)
Lineage: Eukaryota; Metazoa; Chordata; Testudines; Dermochelyidae
Exons: 3
Source: RefSeq, a predicted model, not a curated record